CCUACGGGUGGCAGCAGUGAGGAAUAUUGGUCAAUGGACGAGAGUCUGAACCAGCCAAGUAGCGUGAAGGAUGACUGCCCUAUGGGUUGUAAACUUCUUUUAUAUGGGAAUAAAAUGUUCCACGUGUGGGAUUUUGUAUGUACCAUAUGAAUAAGGAUCGGCUAACUCCGUGCCAGCAGCCGCGGUAAUACGGAGGAUCCGAGCGUUAUCCGGAUUUAUUGGGUUUAAAGGGAGCGUAGGUGGAUUGUUAAGUCAGUUGUGAAAGUUUGCGGCUCAACCGUAAAAUUGCAGUUGAAACUGGCAGUCUUGAGUACAGUAUAGGUGGGCGGAAUUCGUGGUGUAGCGGUGAAAUGCUUAGAUAUCACGAAGAACUCCGAUUGCGAAGGCAGUUCACUGGACUGCAACUGACACUGAGGCUCGAAAGUGUGGGUAUCAAACAGGAUUAGAUACCCGAGUAGUC
This 460-nucleotide ribosomal RNA is filed under the name uncultured bacterium. Its description in RNAcentral is "partial 16S ribosomal RNA". It matches the Rfam family "Bacterial small subunit ribosomal RNA", at positions 338 to 795 of the family's 1533-position model. The record is from RNAcentral.